GCUGGAAUCGCUAGUAAUCGCGAAUCAGAAUGUCGCGGUGGAUACGUUCCCGGGUCUUGUACACACCGCCCGUCACACCAUGGGAGUCGGAAAUGCCCGAAGUCAGUGACCCAACCGUAAGGAGGGAGCUGCCGAAGGUGGAGCCGGUAACUGGGGUGAAGUCGUAACAAGGUAAC
This 176-nucleotide ribosomal RNA is filed under the name uncultured bacterium. Its description in RNAcentral is "partial 16S ribosomal RNA". It matches the Rfam family "Bacterial small subunit ribosomal RNA", at positions 1325 to 1500 of the family's 1533-position model. The record is from RNAcentral.